GCGGCGGACGGGUGAGUAACACGUGGGCAACCUGCCUGUAAGACUGGGAUAACUUCGGGAAACCGGAGCUAAUACCGGAUAAUUCAUCCCCUCGCAUGAGGGGNUGCUGAAAGUCGGUUCACGCUGACACUUACAGAUGGGCCCGCGGCGCAUUAGCUAGUUGGUGAGGUAAUGGCUCACCAAGGCGACGAUGCGUAGCCGACCUGAGAGGGUGAUCGGCCACACUGGGACUGAGACACGGCCCAUACUCCUACGGGAGGCAGCAGUAGGGAAUCUUCCACAAUGGACGAAAGUCUGAUGGAGCAACGCCGCGUGAGCGAUGAAGGCCUUCGGGUCGUAAAGCYCUGUUGUUAGGGAAGAACAAGUACCGCAGUAAUAACUGACGCUGGGGCGCGAAAGCCUGGGGAGCAAACAGGAUUAGAUACCCUGGUAGUCCACGCCGUAAACGAUGAGUGCUAAGUGUUAGAGGGUUGCCGCCCUUUAGUGCUGUAGCUAACGCAUUAAGCACUCCGCCUGGGGAGUACGGCCGCAAGGCUGAAACUCAAAGGAAUUGACGGGGGCCCGCACAAGCGGUGGAGCAUGUGGUUUAAUUCGAAGCAACGCGAAGAACCUUACCAGGUCUUGACAUCCUUUGACCACCCUAGAGAUAGGGAUUUCCCCUUCGGGGGACGGAAGUGACAGGUGGUGCAUGGUUGUCGUCAGCUCGUGUCGUGAGAUGUUGGGUUAAGUCCCGCAACGAGCGCAACCCUUGCUCUUAGUUGCCAGCAUUCAGUUGGGCACUCUAGAGUGACUGCCGGCUACAAACCGGAGGAAGGUGGGGAUGACGUCAAAUCAUCAUGCCCCUUAUGACCUGGGCUACACACGUGCUACAAUGGAUGGUACAAAGGGCUGCGAAACCGCGAGGGGGAGCGAAUCCCAUAAAACCAUUCUCAGUUCGGAUUGCAGGCUGCAACUCGCCUGCAUGAAGCCGGAAUCGCUAGUAAUCGCGGAUCAGCAUGCCGCGGUGAAUACGUUCCCGGGCCUUGUACACCCCGCCCGUCACACCACGAGAGUUUNCAACAGGCGAAGUCCGCCGAGUAACCUUUAUCGAGCCAG
This 1095-nucleotide ribosomal RNA is filed under the name Bacillus sp. A9.04. RNAcentral describes it as "bacterial SSU rRNA". It matches the Rfam family "Bacterial small subunit ribosomal RNA", at positions 95 to 1452 of the family's 1533-position model. Lineage: Bacteria; Bacillati; Bacillota; Bacilli; Caryophanales; Bacillaceae. The record is from RNAcentral.